Numida meleagris (helmeted guineafowl) is the source of this 811-nucleotide long non-coding RNA. RefSeq lists it as uncharacterized. The record is from RefSeq and is a predicted model, not a curated record. The transcript is spliced from 3 exons. Lineage: Eukaryota; Metazoa; Chordata; Aves; Galliformes; Numididae.
UUUGAGACCAUUCUUAGAGUGCUGUCACCAGAUUCCUGUUUGGAUGUGAGUCUUGAAGAUCUGCAUCUGAUGAGCCUAAAUGUUGACAGAGUUAAUGCAGAUGUGGUUCCCUGCAGGAGUUUCAAGCCCAGUGAGUGGGGCAGUGCUUGCCAGGCUGGCAGGUGGCAGCUUGGUGGCAAUUGCACAGUUGGGCAGCCUUGGAGAAGAAAGCCAGAAGGCCAAGUAAUUCCAGCAUGGCUCAACCGGCUGCUGAAACCGCGACACCUGAGACACAAGAACUUGGCCAACAUCACUUGGAGUUGCUGUCUCCUGGCUUUUGGCUUCCAGCACAGCUUGAAUUUACUCCUGAGUAGACCUCAUGUCUGCCUUCUGUUUAUCCAGCUGUUAUCAACAAAUGUGCUUACUUGGUGACUCAUGCUCUGUUCCCUAACCACAUCCCCUUCCCUCUUAUGCCCCCACCCACCACAGCUGAGUCACUUGGACUCCUGUCACAAGGCCUCUUUCUUCAGUCAUGCAUGUAGAAACUUCUAGCUAAGUCCAACAUAAGCACCUCUGUCUUCCUUUUUCAAAGCUAUAGAGUGAGAGCUUGCUGGCCUUUCAUGGGCUGAUCCUGAUCUGCCCACAUUCAUUCUGCACUUCCUAGACCAGAUAUACCCAGAAUCUAUUGCUCCCUGUUCUGGCAAAUGAAAGUGCAUUUUUAUCUGCUCAUGGAAGACAUUUUAGCACAAGGUCCAUUGAAAAUUGAGGCAUAUGUUUCCUUUUGCCCACUGAUAAGGGAACUGCUGUUGGGAACCUUAAUUUAGGGCUAUCU